This 28-nucleotide non-coding RNA is filed under the name Mus musculus (house mouse). Lineage: Eukaryota; Metazoa; Chordata; Mammalia; Rodentia; Muridae. The record is from RNAcentral.
UGGGGCUUAUCUUGAUGUACUACUCUCU